UACGUCGGUGGCAAGCGUUGUCCGGAAUUAUUGGGCGUAAAGCGCGCGCAGGCGGUCUCUUAAGUCUGAUGUGAAAUCUCGCGGCUCAACCGUGAGCGGUCAUUGGAAACUGGGAGACUUGAGUGCAGAAGAGAAGAGCGGAAUUCCACGUGUAGCGGUGAAAUGCGUAGAGAUGUGGAGGAACACCAGUGGCGAAGGCGGCUCUUUGGUCUGUAACUGACGCUGAGGCGCGAAAGCGUGGGGAGCGAACAGG
Molecule: ribosomal RNA, 253 nt
Filed under: uncultured bacterium
Lineage: Bacteria
Description: partial 16S ribosomal RNA
Rfam family: Bacterial small subunit ribosomal RNA
Source: RNAcentral